This is a long non-coding RNA of Sarcophilus harrisii (Tasmanian devil), 921 nucleotides long. RefSeq lists it as uncharacterized. The transcript is spliced from 2 exons. Lineage: Eukaryota; Metazoa; Chordata; Mammalia; Dasyuromorphia; Dasyuridae. The record is from RefSeq and is a predicted model, not a curated record.
GGGGAGAAAUCCUCCCGCUACUUUUCUAGGAGAUGGGUCUGGCCACAGCUCCGCUUGAGGUUUUCAUAGCUGGGAAGCGUAUCUGAGAGGAGGGGCAGGGAAAGAGAGAGAACGAGAAGAACUUGUUACUAAACUUCUAACCUUCCAGGACCUCUUGGGGGAGGAGCCUAAAAAAGGAGCGGAGAAAAAAAGUCAAGUAUUAAAGAAACCCUCACGCUCUAACCCAGAAGGCAGAAUUUAGCCCUAGUGACCUCUGAGAUCAAGGCCCAGAGUGAGUUACUAAACUCCGAAGCUUAUUUUACAGAUGAGGAAACUGAGGCAAAGAUUGACCUGAAUUUCAACUAAGAUCUUCUUGACUCCUGGCUCUGCUCUCCAUCAACUGCUUUCCUGUCAAAGAAUAUGCAAUUUAGUAAAUUUGGGGAUAUAUUUUCACAUUGUUUUGCAGAAUAGAUAAAUCAAUUCACAGCACCAUCAACAAUGCAUUUAAUGUGCCUGUCCUCCUGUCAUCUCUCCAACAAUUAUGAUUUUCUGCUUUUAUCGUUGUUGUUAAUCUGAUCAGUAUAAGAUGACAUCUCAGAGUUGUUUUAAUUUGUAUGUCUCUUAUUAUUAAUAAUGAGGAGCAUCUUUUCAUUGGAUUAUUAAUAGAUUGCAUUUCUUCAUUUGAGAAUUUCCUAGUCAUAUUCUUUGACCAUUUACUUAUUAAGAGAAUGACUCUUAUUCUUACAUGUUUCGAUCUAUUAUUUAUAUAUUUUUAAUAUUAGACAUUCAUCAGAGAAAUUUAAUACAACAGAUUUUUCCCUCAGUUAAUUAUUUCUGAUUCUAAGUGCAUUUAUUUUCCUUGUAUUAUAUAUAAUUGAAACUGUCCAUUUUAUUUGUUAUGAUCAUCUCUGUCCUUUGUUUAAAUAAAAAUUCUCCCCCCUA